This 10128-nucleotide long non-coding RNA is filed under the name Equus caballus (horse). Its description in RNAcentral is "lncRNA (ENSECAG00000055352.1)". Lineage: Eukaryota; Metazoa; Chordata; Mammalia; Perissodactyla; Equidae. The record is from RNAcentral.
CAAAUAUAUACAUAAUAGUUUUAUUUUGUUCUUCGGAUAUUCUUAAUCUAAACUUUUUUAAAAAUCAUGUUUGAAUUUAAAUUAUUUGAAUUUUAAUUCUCUCUAAUGUUUAGAAGGCUUUAGUUUUCUACUAAAUGAGCCUGGAUAUUUGCUAUUUUUACCUUUCCUUUCAGAAAUGUUCUCUGAAUUACUGUUGUAAUCAAAUUGUGAUUUGUUGUUGGCAAAUUCCUUUUAUAGUAUGAGCUUCUUUCCAGUAAAUGAAAUGCAACUGGAGAAAAUUAAAGUAAUGUUGACAGUUUGCUCAGGUACCAAAUUAAAACUUAGUGGAAAACUAUGAAUGUUCUAGGCUAUGUAAUUUUUCUGGUAGAUGUAUGUAUAUAUAUGAAAACUGUAUAGCUAUUAUUGUAAACAAACAAAAACACCUAUUUAGACACCAAGACAUUUAAACAGUGAGAAUAUGAUCUUCCCUUUUAUUGUUUAAACGGGAAUUGUGUAGACAGAAUUUCAAGGGUGGCUUUAUACUGUUGGGUUAUUUUGUUUAUUUGUUUUUAAAUAUUGGACACACUAAAAGUUCCUUUUGGCGCAGUAAGUGUACUCUGGGUCUGCACAUAUUUACUAAUGUCUCCAUCUUCUUGGCCAUUUGCACCUGUCACCUGGCUUUAGGUUGGGCAAAAAGAACUGGAAUAGUUCUUACUUUUUCUACCUUCUCAAAUCAACAAUGACUUUAUCCCCUUACCUCAUCGAUGGGGGAAGAAGAAUAGAGAUGAUUAAGAAGCAAAUAGAGAUAAGAAUGUGGAUAAAGCUGAUGGUGAAGGGAGUUUCUAAAUUUAUGAGUAUAAGGAAGGAAAAAGACUUUUCCCCAACUCCCCAGGAAAGCCAUCCUACCUAUCCAACACAGCACUGUCUUCUCCCUGUGCCUGUCUAAAGCAGAUCUACCUAAAUUCCUCCUCCACUCCAAGACAGAUUCCAAUGGUACCACCAAAAGAAGAUCAUAGAAGAGAAAGUCAUAACAUCUCACAUUUCUAAUACAUUCACUGCCAGGUUUUCUUCAUACCUUUUGCCUUUUAAGCCUUGGGUUUGGAGUCGUGAGCAGGUUUUCAUAGUUGGUGGACAGAUUUGACUUGUUUUGAUAAGAAGCCUUCCCAACAAAGCAUUUCUAAGGCAUGCCGCAAAACAGCAUUGCGAGUUUAAUUAAAACGGAUGAAGUAUUGACUGAACAAGUUUGUGUGUGUGUGUUUCCUCUCUAAAAAUAAAAUAAAGUCAAAUACUUUUUAUGUAAAGCAAAACAGAAAACAACUCUAAACUUCUAUCAGUCUGAAUGAAUUCACAUUUCUUUUUACAAAAUAGCUUUUCUGAAACCAUUUUUGUACGGUGGUUAGACCAGCACAUUCUACUCUCUCCCCUGCCCACUUGCCGCUUUGCUUUUUAAAUGUUGAAUGAAUGUGAAUAGUUUGUUAGUUAAAAAAAAAAAGCACAUGCUUGUAACAGGCUCAGAAUCUACCUAUGAACGUGAAGAUGUGCUAGGGGUUAUGUACAAUAGUUUCAAUCCUAUCAACUUAGGGUGGAAAUAUGUGAAUAAAAGUUUUAGAAACUUAUUAGAUUUCUAGUAUGUUGAGAGAAACUCUAUGGUGUGGUAAAAAAUAAAUAGAAGCCCUGCCUUGGAGAGCAGGAGGCAUUAAUUAAUGCAAAAAUAGAUUUAAAAUGGUUAAAUCUGGAGGCCCGGUUUCUAGUGCCAACUGACCAAAUUACUGAAUUAAUGAUAAUUUCUCUCUUCCUCAGUUUCCUUGCCUGUAAAAUGAAGGGAAAGAGAUCCUUUUCAGAUUUUCGUUUAUCUUAAAGAAUGUGUGAUUUUAUUUUAAAUAGCUGUAUAUGUAGAUAAUUCUGCUUGCGUUUUCUACCUAUAAAUCACAAAUGUUUGGAGAGAAAUUUAGGUUGGUAAAGAGGGAAGAAUAAAGGAAGUUCAGGUGAUCUGAGAGAGCACACGUAGUUUAAUUUUUUAGUGGUGGUUGUCCUCAGCUUAAGUAGAUGUCAUAAUAUAUUAUUGGGUCUAUUUAAUGAUUCAAUGAAUGCAAUAAACCAAAAAUUGUCAUUUGUCAGACAAAGUGACAUAAUUGCCUAUGCGUGGUUUGAGAAAAGGGCUGCUUUUAACUGAGUGGAGCACAACAUGGUUACUAUGGCUCCAUUCCUCCCUGCUGGCCACUAGAUGGAGAGGCGGUCCAUGUCCACAGCCUUGCCCAUGGUAAACAGCUCACUUCUGACUUUCUGUUGGCAAAGCUGCACUCUAUGAGUUUGGACAUUUCUAUGAACACACACAAGACAUUUUGCAGAAACCAUCAGAGAAUAUAUUCUCUUCUCUACAGGCAUGAAGAGAUAUUCAUGACUGCAGGAUGACCUGCUCCGUCUACGGCCACUGUUAAGGCUGGUAGACCAGCAGAAGAGAAUGACAGGCAGUGACUACCAUUUAUUGAAUCACCCUUUGUGCUGGUAACUGAACUGUGAGGUAAAUAUUAUCUUAUUAUUCUUCACAACAAUCUCAUAAGGCAGAUAUUUACAUUUUAUCAAUGAGGAAUCUAUGGCUACGUUAGAUUAAAUAACUUCCAUAAGGCUACACAUCUAGUUAUGGAGGAGUUAUUCAGAAUCAGUGGUGUAAUAGGCAAAAAAGGAUUGCUGAGACUAAGGUGUAUACUGUUAUGGAUAAUGAAAGGAGUUUCUCACUUUUUUCCAGUAAACAGAGGAAGAUGAGCUUUUUCGAGAAAGAGUGGGAAAGGGGGAGGGAGGAAGGGCAAACGUUUGUGUUUUUGACCGGUAGGAGUGAGUUUGUCAGAGAAUAGAAGGCUGAUGCCUCACUGUGGCCUGUCUUUCCAAAGCCCUAGGUGCUGCUUUUGGUACUGUUGUAGACACAGGCAUCCAGGGCGGCUGAAACACUGCAUUAUGCCUUGCUGGGGCCAGUUGAGGGACCGGAAGCAGUGGUGGCUGCAGGGGAGGUUCUUAGAACUUUUAACUCUAUUUGGAACAGCUUUUAUGGGCAAACUUAUCAGCACAGCUAUUCCAGACUGUCAGAGCCCAGGAAACCUGAUGCUGUGUAUGAGUGCCACAUCAGUUUCACUAUUGAUUUGACCUCAAAGCCCGUGGUCCCAACCAGUGUGCUGUUUUGUAUAACAAUUAUAUCAUUCAAUGUACCUACAGCAACUGCAGAAAAACACCUAUUCCUGCACAGUUUUAAACUCCGAAGUAACCUUCAGCUCUAGCCCAGAGGAAAAUAAAAAUCCAAUUAUAUAAUAUGAUCUUUUACUAUGAAUGGGGAACCCCAAACGUGUGAAACAAUUAGAAAUUCUCCGUUUCUUUUAAUCACAGGAAUAUUCACACCUGUGUGAAUUACAGAGCUAAAAAACACCCCCGACUCUCCGAAGUUCUACUAUAAAGAAGUCUAGUUAUUUGCCUUAGUUUCAAAAGAAAAGUUCCCUAAGUAUUUCAAAAUGUUCGACUGGCUGCCCCAGCUAUUCUCUUUGGAAGCUUCUUUCUCAUCCUCAUGGCACAUCCCUCUGGCAUGCAUGACCAGCUGCAAGCUAAACCCUGUGGAAUAAGAAUUCUUUCAUCCCUUUGUGUGAUGUGUUUCAUUUUCAGAGUUUGGAUGAUCCUCCUCGGCAGCAGCGGCAGGCAUUGUUAGUUUCAAUAGGAGGCCUGGAUGCACAAGAACAGUCAUCCUAGAGAGCCAGGCUCUCGGGGUCCGUUCCUUCGCACCACGGUGCUGUGUUAGAUCACUUUCUCCUGCUGGAUUAAUGACCAGGAAAAAAGGGUAACAAACUAUACCCAAAGGAAUCCAAUUAAAGUACUUGAACUUCACUCACGUCCAUCCUAUCAUUUUCUUAACUUCCUAACAUAGGCUUAAUUAUUCUGACCAGUAGAAAGGAAUAGCAUGAAUAAGAGAGUUAUCUCAAAAUCCUUAUUUUCUUUAGUUUGAAAGGUUCAAAAUCUUGUUGUAUAAGAUGAAAUAAUAAUCUGUGUUUGGUAUGGUUGAACUUUUUUUGGGUUGUUUUUUCUCUCUCUUCUCUAAUAUCUUCACCAAGGUCACUGCCAGGACUGAUUGUAUGAAACUGCUCAGCCCUUACAAUUUUAUCUCUGUUCACAGUCUACACUGCAGCAUUAGUUCAUUCUGGACUCUUCGGCUUCCUUGAAUUCCCAAUUGAUUCCACUCCCAUGACUGUGAUAUUCUUUUCCUAGUUAAUCAAGAAUUCUCUAUUUCUGCUCUGUCAUCCAUGCCACUGUAAGUGGGAAAGUAGUUUAGGCUUUGGCUCUCAGCCUCAUCAUUUCUGAAAUGACCUCCUCUGAUUCUAAAGUUCUGUGUCUAAAAUACAAACUAGGAUUUCCGGUAAUAAAAACUUAUGUGUGUAUGAUGACUGAUAGUUUUCAGUCUUUUCAUAUGUUUUAUUUUAUAUAAUUCUGACCAUGGUUCUGUGAGAUGGGGGAGAACAGGUUUUAUUGUCUCUUGUUUUCAGAGAAGGAUCCUGCAGCUCAGGGAGAUGAAGUGUCUUACCCACGUCCAAUAAUUAGUAACUGGCUGAACCUGAACUUAAAAUUCAGUUUUUCCCACAUUAAGGUGAUGGUUUCUUCUAGUAGGAAGUUUCUUUCCUAUAGCCUAAAUUUCUUCAUUUAUUAACUAUAAGUUUUGGUGUAUGUGAGUGUGUAUGUUCUUGCUCUGGGAAGGGGCUUCCUUAUGCUUAAAUGAGUUUGGGAUGGAAUUUUGUGACUUUAGUUUUUAUCAGUGAAGGAGUCUCCUAGGAUUUCUAAUUAAGAAAGACAAGGAAUGUGCUACCUUUCUAGUAUGAAUUUUGGUGUUAUUGUAAGCCCCUCUAUCAAAUUUGAUUGCAUUUUUCAAUUAUAAAUCUAUUCUGCCAGAAACCUAAUAUACCUAUUAGAUAAUAUUCUUUGUGAUUAAGGAAGAUAAGAAAAUAGUAGGGGCUGGCCCCAUGGCUGAGUGGUUAAGUUCACGCACUCUGCUUCGGCAGCCCAGGGUUUCGCUGGUUUGGAUCCUGGGCACAGACAUGGCACUGCUCAUCAGGCCAUGCUGAGGCAGCGUCCCACAUGCCACAAUUAGAAGGACCCACAAUUAAAAAUACACAACUAUGUACCGGGGGGCUUUGGGGAGAAGAAGAAGAAGAUAAAAGAAGAUUGGCAACAGUUGUUAGGUCAGGUGCCAAUCUUUAAAAAAAGAAAAGAAAAGAAAAGAAUAGAAGCCCUCUUAGCCAAUCCCUUCUUCAGGCCAAUAGGAUACUCUCUGAAAAAUGGUGCACUUCUGUUUAUCUGUUUACCUGCUGGUAUGCUUACCUAGAGUCAUUUGUAUUUGUUUUCAAAUUUGUUUAUGCCCCUUGAAUGUGCAGUUAUAAUUUAAUUAUGCAAACUGAUGAAAUAUGAGUAGAAAGGUAUAAAGGGUUGUUGAUUUUAUGAAGUUUAAGUUGACUGCUUUGUAAAGACUUUUUAAAGUGAAUCACUAAAACCAAUUACGGUCUAAAUACGUGAAGGCUAGACAACUGUAAGAGAUUGCCUGGGGUAGGGGUAGGGGAUGAAUGUAAAAAUUCUGGAAGGAUCCUGCAUUCAACUUGUUUUGCAAAUCCCUUUAAGCACACACUGACUUUAAAUAAACCAGAAGCUUUAAACUCUCACUGACUUUAAGUAGAUGAUACAUUGUGGUACAGUUUAAGCAAGAAGAAUAAUGUGACUUAGAUGAUCAGGAGUCAACAACAGCUCUUGGUCCUACAUCUAAAGUUUGGUUAAUAGGUGUAAAAUUUUAUGUUUUAACGCUAAAUAUGUUAAAAUUGCUUUAACCAAUAUCUUUCUGUGUCUCAGUAUCCUGUGUAAAAUGAAGAUGAAAAUAAUUUUACCUAACAAGUUUUUUUUUGAGUGUGUGAGGAUUACAUGAGAUAAUAGAACAAAGCCUGGCACGAGUACUAAAAAUGUUAGCCACCGUCAUUGACAUCAUCAUCAUCAUCUGAGAGUAUCUGCUGUAGGGCUUAUGUACAUUUAUAUGAAAAACGUAAUCACCGCUACCAGCUAUUGGUAGCAAGACAUAAUAGUUCUGUUUGGGUUGACAGUGAAACUAUCCAUUUUCACCCACACCCCAUCCUUUUUUCAGGAUUUAUGAGAAGAGGAAGUUUGACUUUACCUUUCUCAGGAAAUGCUGAGACCUGAAAUUGUUCAUGAAGCGUUAGUGAAAGGGCUAGGUGUAGUCUGAGCUGAAGACUGUUAAAAGGGUUGGAAUGUGGAGAGUUGAAGUUGUUUAAGUUUAAGAUACAUUGUUGCUGGACUUGUAUAGAAUGCUUACACUGAGCCUAGAUCUAGCCAAGGUGUUUCUCACUUAAAUGAACACUAAGCUUCACAUAGUUCUCUCGCAAUUGUAAAUAGAGAAAUAAAGGAGAAAAAAAAAUUGUUUUGACAAACAAGUCUGGUAGCUAAACUUGAAUGGCAUGGUAGUGAGAAUACUGAUUGUAAGGCUAGGCAUUGCACUGUAUGCCAUCAAUUCCUAAAUGCUUCCGCAGUGUAGGUUACAAGUUUUCAUUAAUGAACCCACAUUUAGAAACUGCUUUUUGGAGGAGGAUUAAGAUUUUACGUGCUUUCUGUCUGAAUGCUGCCACCCACAUUUCCAUAUCAUUCACAUCCUGUUUUCCUACCUAAGAAUGUGGUCCUCAUAGGAAAGAGGCUCAGACUUCAAGGUCGGAGACAACACCCACUGGACUGAUAGUUUCCUGCUUGAUUUGAAUGUAUAAGGGUUGAUUCAGUGCUGGUCACACUAGAGUGAAUGCUCUAUCAAUGGUUCCUUUUUUGUUGGUAUUAUUCAAAUAAGCGAUACUAUUCUCCUUCUAUAGAUUAUUUACAUAGCACUUCCAGAAUUAUUAAAAAUAAAGCAAGUAGGUAGCAAAGUGGAAUUUAAGACAUUUUCCAGAGUUGAAAAAUUUUUGGAAUGAUAUAAUCUAAAGUUAUUAAGUACCCAUUUAUGUCCUUAAAUAGUACAAGUAUCAUCAUUCAUCGCUUUCUAUGCCUAUUAUGGAAUUUAGGUUUAUUUGUUUUUUAUAUUGCAGUCCAUCCUUACCUGUCAUAAAGCUUUUGGAUAAAAGAAAUAUUGUCUUUCUACUUCAUGGCUCAUUAUAACUUUGGGAUUACCUUAGCUCACACAACAUACAUUUUCCUACCCAUGGAUAUUAUUCAAAUUUCUCUUCUACUCUGUCUUUCCUGUGCAUUCAUUUCAAUCACUAUAUGUCCUAUAAAUUUUGUCUGUCCUCAGCCUUUUGCCCUCAGCUGUGACUUUAUAUAUGUUCCUUUGCUCUUCUGUAUGUCAGCAUUUGUUAACAUGUAUCCCUCUUUCUAACCUACACUUUUAUUCCUUAGUUUGAUUUAAAUUUCACCUAUUUUUUUUCUUUAGCCACACCAUAUCCAUAGAGUUAUUUUAUAUGAGGGCAACAGUGGAACUUAUAAAAACUAGGUAGUAUUCCAGGAAAUAGCAAUCUUUGCCCUGAAGUACAGUAGGCUAGGUAUUCAAGCUUCUACCUAGCGAAGAUCUACCUUUUAUGUCCUUUUGUUAUGCAAGAUAUUUUUAAGGAGGUAGGAUUCAAGAGAAUUUCCUUCUUCAUAUGAAAUUCCUGUCAGUCAAUAUGAUAUUCAGAACCGCUUACUAAGCACCUUUUUAGGCAAAGAAAAGAGCCAGUCUCAGUUUGGGUGUGUUCUGUUCUUGAUUCAUUUCCCUGGGGCCCAGCCUCUUAUAUUUGAAAUUUUAGGUUGUGAAUUAAGGCAUUUCUAUAAACUGGCCUGGGAUGAUGCAUUGCUAAGCUUCAGGUGAUGGGUUCAUACGUCACGAGCAGUGUUUUGCUGUGUCAAUAAAAUUAAGGUAGGAAAGCAAGUUGGCUUCAGUGCCAAAUAGUGGUCAGAAUAUCACGGAACGUGAGGUUGGUGUGGUAGCAGCAGCAUGCAGUUAGGCACACGUGCAUGCACAGUGGUGCUGUUCCUAUUCUGUUUGGAAGGCAGUUUGGACAUCAUUACAAUAAUAUGAAAGGCAGUAACUUGAUCAAAGUUCUAGCCAGGAAAGUUCUUAUUUCUCUAUAUUGGAGAGAUGUGUGCAGGACAAUCUAAAGAUAGAAUACUGGUAAUGAGAACAUCUUUAUUUUACGUGUUUUUCAAAGAGUAUCUGUUUUUUUUUGUUAUGUUGCAAUUUUUUGCUAUGUUAUCCAUUGAAUGAUUUAAUGGAUGCCCAAAUAAAGAUCAGACUGAUGUUCCAUAUAAAGACCUGCUGGAUUUAUAUAUACACACUUAAAAAAAUAUGUUUUUAUGGCAUAUAAUAAGUUCCAUUGAAUUAUUGAGCUUAUCAAAUAGCAGAUAAGCUUUUUCUGCCUGAGUUUGUUGGCCUGAUAUUAUCUACAAUUUUAUUUAAUAAUUCAUUCAUUCAUUCACUGGGCACCUAUUAUGUUGGGGAUUAUAUUUGGGACAGUAGGGAAUGCAAAGAUGAUUAAGACAUGGCCCCUGCCUACUCAAAUUUGUAGUCUAGUGGCUAUUGUAUAAAACAUUCUUAGAUUUGGCCUUUACUAUAAUAAUGUGUUAAUCCCUUAAUUAUUUCACAUCCAAAAGGUCUAAUUCUUAUUGUUAUGAUCAUAUAUUUAAGGUGCAUCUUCAGUGUUCUAGAUACUGAAUUUAAAGCACUGCCAAUACCUUUAAACACAUUAUAAUCCCUAAAAUCUAACAUAACAUAUUAUAAAUAUAAAGUAUUAUGGUAAACAGAAAUUUAUCAAAUACUUUUUAUAGGGUUAAUACUGGUUUUUAAUCAUAUGACUCUCUUUCCUUUCAUCUGAUUCCUUCUUUAUUUGGGAGAAGAGAUGGGAAAGGACAGUUGGCAUUUGUUGGUGAAAAUCCACUAGGAAUAGAAAAUCCAACAGAAGACUUGAUUGCAACCUGGUUUCUAGUUCAAUAAAAUGCAAGGUGAAGAGCCACAGGAGAUGAGGAUGGAGAGAUAUGCAGGUGCCUACCACACAGUACCCUAUAUAUGCCUAGCUAAGAAAUGAAGUGGGAUCCACUAAAAUGUUUUAAGUAAGGAAAUGACUCCUUAGUUCUGUUGAGAAAAAACACUUCAGCAGUUGAGCGUGGAAGAAGGAGUGUAAAGAAAAGAGGCCAGAGUCUGUGAGACCGGUCAGAGGACAGUGAAUGGCAAUCAAGAUGAAAUGAGUGCAGGGCUUGGACAGAAGUAGCAGCUCUGAAGCUGGGAAACAUCCGUCAAGAGGCACGGGUUCAAGAGAUUUGUAGGAGGUAGAAUUGACAAGAUUCGGGCCUAGAUGAAGGGGCGGGAGUUGGGUGCGGUUAAGGGAAAAAAAAGAAGUUUAGGAUGACUAUCAAGAUUUUUCCUUAAGUACCUGCGUGGUGCUAUUCAUGGAGGAAAGGAUUCUUUUGGGAGAAGCAAGUGAUUGGCCAGCCUGAGGUCAGGGAGAAUGUGAGGGUGGGAGAUAAGGAAAGAUAUAAAUAAUUUAGUUGAAUUUUAAACGUAAAUUUACUAUGCUUUGAGAAAAUGGGGUGUGAUGCUAUGACCUGAAAAAGUAAAAAUUAAGGUAAGUCUGACAUGUUGAAGCAGGCUAAGGAGACUGAGUUUCGUGGAAGAGUACUGAUUAGGGAAUUUUAAUGGAAAAUAGAAAGUCUGGAAUCAGGUAUUUAUUCUUGGAGUCAUUGUUUCCCAGAUUUUCUUUAAUGGAAGCUUUCCUCCAUUUUGUUAACCAAAAUCAAAACUGGCUUAUUCAAAUGGUUUAACCUUAUGAUGUGUCUGGGAGUCUUUGGAGAAUAGCUACUUUAAGGAGUUAUCUGUGUGAGGAGGUAGUAUGGUAAUGAAGGCAAGGUCAGUUACCAGCAGUAUGAAUUGCUAGUUAAAUAACCUUGCAUAAACCACUCAACAUUUUUGGGUUUCCAUUUUCUCACCUCUAGAAUAAGAGGGUUGAAUCAGAUGAUCUCUGAGAAGCUUUGUUACAGUAAAAACCCUGUGAUUUUAUGACCCGAUGAACAGCAUGAUUAUACCUGUAGGAUUAACAUCUUUAGAAACUUUAACAACAGACUUCCAGUUAAACUUGGUGACUGAACACAUGUUUUUCCUUGUUCCUUCCUACUAAG